RNAcentral lists this long non-coding RNA (626 nucleotides) under Aotus nancymaae (Ma's night monkey). Its description in RNAcentral is "lncRNA (ENSANAG00000038608.1)". The record is from RNAcentral. Lineage: Eukaryota; Metazoa; Chordata; Mammalia; Primates; Aotidae.
UGUAAGGAAGGGAUCCAGUUUUAGCUUUCUGCAUAUGGCUAGCCAGUUUUCCCAACACCAUAAAUAAACUUUUUGUUAUUUGAUUUUAACAUUGUUUUAUCGUGAAUGGCCUGGGUGUUUCAUUCUAACAACAACUAUUCUCUGUUAAAACAGAAGUGCAGAAUCCAGCCUGCCCUGCCUAAUUCUCAGAAAGGAGCUCCUGGAAGAUGCUGGGAACUAGGUGAAGAACCCGCCAUGCUGGGCCUGUUGGAAGAAGGAGGAGGAAGCCACCCUCCUAUCGAGGCGGCCUUGAACCUGGUGAGAGAAUGUGGAGGUCAGUAAGUCGUCUGUUCCUCUCAGAAAACACUCCGGUGCAAAAUACUGUGUUCUUUGUGUCCUUUAGCCUUGGUGUCCAUUUUCACACAAAACUGCCCAACAAUUAUAUUCCUUACUUUUUUUUUUUUUUGCUAUAAAAAUGUUUUAUUAGGCCAAACUACUUACUAUGAAAAUGCUUUAAAAUGCACCAGGAGGAGAUGUAAAGACUCAAAGAAGUGCGUAGUGACAAUGGCUAUCAGAACACACUAAAGAAUCCACACUGCUUCCCCACUUUACCUAGAAAAGGAAGCUUCUAGGCUACCUCCUCCUCA